GAUGAACGCUAGCUACAGGCUUAACACAUGCAAGUCACAGGGUAACAUGAGGAAAGCUUGCUUUCCUUGAUGACGACUGGCGCACGGGUGAGUAACGCGUAUCCAACCUUCCCAUAACUACGGGAUAACCCGUUGAAAGACGGCCUAAUACCGUAUGACAUCGUUUGCUGACAUCAAAUAACGAUUAAAGGUUUAGCGGUUAUGGAUGGGGAUGCGUCUGAUUAGCUUGUUGGCGGGGUAACGGCCCACCAAGGCGACGAUCAGUAGGGGUUCUGAGAGGAAGGUCCCCCACAUUGGAACUGAGACACGGUCCAAACUCCUACGGGAGGCAGCAGUGAGGAAUAUUGGUCAAUGGGCGAGAGCCUGAACCAGCCAAGUAGCGUGCAGGAUGACGGCCCUAUGGGUUGUAAACUGCUUUUAUGUGGGGAUAAAGUGCGUGACGUGUCAUGCAUUGCAGGUACCACAUGAAUAAGGACCGGCUAAUUCCGUG
Molecule: ribosomal RNA, 490 nt
Filed under: uncultured bacterium
Lineage: Bacteria
Description: partial 16S ribosomal RNA
Rfam family: Bacterial small subunit ribosomal RNA
Source: RNAcentral